Molecule: ribosomal RNA, 492 nt
Filed under: uncultured bacterium
Lineage: Bacteria
Description: partial 16S ribosomal RNA
Rfam family: Bacterial small subunit ribosomal RNA
Source: RNAcentral
AGUGAACGCUGGCGGUAGGCCUAACACAUGCAAGUCGAACGGCAGCACAGUAAGAGCUUGCUCUUACGGGUGGCGAGUGGCGGACGGGUGAGGAAUACAUCGGAAUCUACUUUUUCGUGGGGGAUAACGUAGGGAAACUUACGCUAAUACCGCAUACGACCUACGGGUGAAAGCAGGGGAUCUUCGGACCUUGCGCGAUUGAAUGAGCCGAUGUCGGAUUAGUUAGUUGGCGGGGUAAAGGCCCACCAAGGCGACGAUCCGUAGCUGGUCUGAGAGGAUGAUCAGCCACACUGGAACUGAGACACGGUCCAGACUCCUACGGGAGGCAGCAGUGGGGAAUAUUGGACAAUGGGCGCAAGCCUGAUCCAGCCAUACCGCGUGGGUGAAGAAGGCCUUCGGGUUGUAAAGCCCUUUUGUUGGGAAAGAAAAGCAGCAGGUUAAUACCCCGCUGUUCUGACGGUACCCAAUGAAUAAGCACCGGCUAACUUCGUG